RNA transcript from Cervus elaphus (red deer), 2310 nucleotides. It is a transcript of the gene named solute carrier family 39 member 2, with no coding region annotated. The transcript has 3 exons. Lineage: Eukaryota; Metazoa; Chordata; Mammalia; Artiodactyla; Cervidae. The record is from RefSeq and is a predicted model, not a curated record.
AAUAAUGGGAGGAGGGGGGAUGGGGAAAGUCACCCCCAGCUUCCUGAGAACUGGCUCAACAGGUCUCAGGGUUGUUAGCCAGGCCACCUGAACAGGGGAGUCAACAGCUGCUUGGCUUCUAUUUUUUUCUGCCUUCUUCCCUUUCAACUUUCUCAGCUUCCUCAGAGUUAACCUCAUACACGUUUGCCUCAAGAGUCGGUUCCCCUCAGGCCUCAAUCUUCCAUCUCCAUCUCUACAUGUCCAGGCAGGAGCCUUCAGUAUAUGUGGUUCGUUUCUGUUUUCCCCUAGGCCUUGCUGUUUCAGAACUAGAGCAACUUUCUUCAUCUUAAAAUUCUCAGUCCCUCUUCUAUAAUUUAUAUCAGGAAAAAGGCAUAGUCAAAAGUUCUAACAGCAUCAGUGUUGUAAUACUAGAAAUCUCAACUUCCUUGUAGACAUUUCCAUGCCUGGAGCUAUUUCUCUGGAGUGACAGGAUAGGAGAGUCCCCUCCUGUACUAGUUCUCACAGGGUGGUGGCAGCUCCACUUGCCAGCCCCACCUCCUUAUCCCAAGUAGCCCCAAAUCCCCUUUGAAAGGAUGCAGUUCAGGUUUCAACAGAGCAACCUAAAGGACUUGAGGUGGAGUAGACAGGGUAUGGAAGGCUUAGAUCAAAUGUCCUGAGUGAGGCAGGAUCAGAUUGUCCCCAGGACAGAACAGCUGGGGAGAGCUACUAAAGACACUCUGGAUUAGAACAGCCCCAGGCCAGAACUAAGACUCAACAGCCCCUGGAUUAGUCCCGGCAAUGAAGAGGAGGAGAAGACACUGCACCAGGCCAUGCCUGGCAGGGAGUCUGGAGUUUCUGGUUUCUAAACUCAGGAAGGCGUCAGCCAGGGGAGGGGCCUGCAUGUAGGGGAAGGGUGAGAAACGGGCUGGGCAAGCUUCCUAUGUGAGGCUACGCAAGAAGAGGCAUCCAGAGAGAGGAUCUGCAAUAGUCUCCUGAAGCAGGAGAGUGAACACCAGCUCUGACCACCUGAGACACCCCUCCUGCUCCAAAGACUAUAACUCCAUUUGUCUUUCUGAGGCCUCAACUAACCCUGUACCACAAGAAUGGAGCCACUACUAGGAGCAAAAAUUGGCUGCCUAUUUGCCCUGCUGGUGCUCACUCUGGUCUGUGGCCUUAUUCCCAUCUGCUUCAAAUGGUUCCAGACUGCUACAGCCACAGGUUGUCACCGCCGGGUCCUCAGUUUCCUGGGCUGCACGUCUGCUGGCGUUUUCCUGGGAGCGGGGUUCAUGCACAUGACCGCUGAAGCCUUGGAGGGAAUUAAAUCAGAGAUCCAGAACUUGGUGAUACAGGUGAGCGGCAGACCUACCAGGCCAUGAGGCCAGAAUGAUGAACAGAACCAGGGGAAGAAAGGGGGAAAAGUGACAAAGCCAAGGACAGAAGGAACGACAAGGAAGAUGACGGCUCUUGUGUGGAGUGAUGGAAACAGAACAGGACAAAGAGUGAGGGGCAUUCUGAUGAUGGUGCUGAUUCAGCUUAUGUAAGUGUCUCCCACCAGCCCUUACCUGGACAGUAAGGAGAACCAGAGACUGCUUUCAUGCCCAGACCUUUUUGAGAGGAUUUAUGUGUGGAAUUCUAAGAAUUCCUCCUACCCCUCAGCUCUAGCACUGUUGUUGGCAAGGAAAGGUGGAGCCACUCAAUCCUUCUGGGCUUAUGAAACCCAGAGAGAACUCUUGUUUAACCUUCCAUUCUUUCUCUGGACCCUUUGAUAUGCUUCCUAUCAUUUCCCCGUAUUUCUAACCCUAUUGAUAUUCUUUCGCUUAUUUCCUCAGGUUUUCUUGUGGUCAAACGUCCAUGUCUCCUCUUGGCUUCGUUCCCCUUUUGUAUGUUCUGUUACCACACUUCCCAUUCUCUUCAGCCCAGUCCCAAUCCUGUGCAAUUUCUUCCCUUCCUUACUUCCCCCAGGGCUCAGAAGUAAAGAAACCACCAUCAAUGCGGGAGACCCGAGUUCGAUCCCUGGGUGGGGAAGAACCCCUGGAGAAGGAGAUGGCAGCCCACUCCAGUAUCCUUGCCUGGAAAAUCCCAUGGAACCUGGCGGGCUGCAGUCCAGAGGAUCACAAAGAGUUGUGAAUGAUUGAGCACAAACAGCUCACUUUCCCAUCUCACAACCCCUCUUUCUGUUCCCACCCAGAUGGACUAUCCCUACGGAGAGCUCAUCAUCUCCCUGGGCUUCUUCCUUGUCUUCUUUUUGGAGUCGCUGGCAUUGCAGUGCUGUCCGGGGGCUGCUGAGACACCCGAAGUGCAGGAACUGGGGACAGCUCAUGAGCUUGAACC